Molecule: transfer RNA, 69 nt
Filed under: Loxodonta africana (African savanna elephant)
Lineage: Eukaryota; Metazoa; Chordata; Mammalia; Proboscidea; Elephantidae
Rfam family: tRNA
About the family: Transfer RNA (tRNA) molecules are approximately 80 nucleotides in length. Their secondary structure includes four short double-helical elements and three loops (D, anti-codon, and T loops).
Source: Rfam by way of RNAcentral
GCAGUGGUGAUUCAGCGGUAGAAUUCUUGCCUUCCAUGUGGGAGACCCAGGUUAGAUUCCUGGCCAGCA